RNAcentral lists this ribosomal RNA (253 nucleotides) under uncultured bacterium. Its description in RNAcentral is "partial 16S ribosomal RNA". It matches the Rfam family "Bacterial small subunit ribosomal RNA", at positions 524 to 776 of the family's 1533-position model. The record is from RNAcentral.
UACGGGGGGGGUAAGCGUUGUUCGGAAUUACUGGGCGUAAAGGGCUCGUAGGCGGCCAACUAAGUCAUACGUGAAAUCCCUCAGCUUAACUGGGGAACUGCGUGUGAUACUGGAUGGCUUGGAUUUGGGAGAGGGAUGCGGAAUUCCAGGUGUAGCGGUGAAAUGCGCAGAUAUCUGGAGGAACACCGGUGGCGAAGGCGGCAUCCUGGACCAAUAUUGACGCUGAGGAGCGAAAGCCAGGGGAGCAAACGGG